AAACAUGUCUUUGCCUCUAAUGAAAUUGGAGAAGCUCGUGAUCCUGCAGUGUACCUGAAGAGUUGCUGCUAGUGGAACAAACUAACAGCUUGUGCUCAAGUGGGAGCUUAGUAAAAGGCCAUUCCUAGAAGGAAUGUAAACAAAAACUUGACAGUUAGGCCUGAAGGCCAGGCUGCCUGCAGAAGAGCACUUCAUGUGUUUGAAGCUUGGAAACAUUGCUUUGAAUUCAAGAAAAGCUCACAGACCCAUAGAGGACCAGAGCUUGCCAGCAGUCACCCAGGAUCCUGGUAACCUGACGGUGUGCUCUUGGUGAGACUGGAAUAUGGGAAAUCCAUGCUGUGGGGCAUAUGUAACGUGUUGGGCAGCAGGGUGUCCUGAGGGUGCCCACCAAUCCCUAACUCGCUUGUCCCCAUGCAUAGGUCUCGUGAGAAUCUCCCACUCCCCUGACACCCACAGGGAUGACUCCGCAGAGCUCCUAGGAUGAUCGAUGAGUCCUGCACAAAUGCACUUCCACCAGCAACCCUUGGCCUCUGGCCUUCUGCAGUGGCCAGCUAACUAGGAGAACACAGAGGCUUCUGUGCUAUUUUAUUUCCUUAGCCAUUUCUCAGGAAGAGAGAUUGAUACGCAGGCCUGUGACACCGGGGAAAAGGCGGGGCUUCAGUUUUGGAGUCUCAGACGUCAGAUUUGAGAAGGGGAAGGCCAAUGCCUCCUGCAGUUGAUCAGCUGAGUCUGCAAGGCUGACCUCCUUGCCGGUCCCCUUCUUAUGACCACCUUUCAGGAAGGAACAUCCUCUUUAGGGUUUAACUCACUGCCAAAGUCACCCCCCCUUCCCUGUCUGCCAUACUUUGGAGGCCUUUCAGCCUCCAGAAAGCUGCUUACCUACUGAGACCCCCCUAAUAUGUGAGAAAGACACACCCAGGGAUUUCAUUUUAAUUUUUAUUCUUAUUUUUUCUUAAAGAUUGGCACCUGAACUAACAUCUGUUGCCAAUCUUCUUUUUUCUUUUAUUUUUUCUUCUUCUUCUCCCCAAAGUCCCCCAGUAUAUAGUUGUAUAUUCUACCUGUAGGUCCUCCUGGUUCUGCUAUGUGGGAUGCCGCCUGAGAAUGGCCUGAUGAGUGGUGCCAUGUCUGUGCCCAGGAUCUGAACCGGCGAAACCCUGGGCCGCAGAAGCGGAAGCAGAGCGUGUGAACCCAACUACUCGGCCUCUGGCCUGCUCCACAUCCGGGGAUUUUAAAGGGCUGACUGCUGAAGGGAGAGUAUAAAGCAAGGAUGUCAGCUUUCCUUCCAUUUCAAACCCAGCCCCAAAGCUAUUUAAGCCAGUGCACAUAGCGUUACUCAACAGCUCUUUGAUGAUUGAAUGAAUAAAUUUGCGGUAACAAAAGGAAGAUUGAGAUUUCAGAACACUGUGGGGUAUGUUGAACAUUGAUUCUCUGAUCUCAGAGAAAAGAAAACAGAAAGGCAAUUUUCCUCUAAUUUCAAUCAGAAUAUUUUGCAGAUGAAAGGGAUCUUAGUGAUCAUUCGGUUUCCUUGUUACUUUACAAAUAGGAAUUUAAUGACUUGCAUUUCUUCCUGUCUGAACCUUGGUUCAAUAAUGUAUACUCAAAUAUUUUCGUUUCAUUAUUUCAUUUUGGAAUUGAAUAGAAUACCUUGGAAAGAUACCUAAACUGCUCUUUCCUCAUAUUUCCCAUUCCUUGCUCAUGUUUCCUGAAUGUUUGCCUGUGGAGUGGCUCAUUAAGCUGUGAAACAGGUAGUAGAUUUGGGGCCUUUGUGCUUGAAUCCCGAGGCUUGCCAUUGGCUCAGGACUUCUCAAGUGGGCCCCUUGACAGUUAGGAAAACUGCCUGAAGUUUAGAUUUUCAAAUACUGACUAUUUUGCCAGGGCUGUUUUGAUAAAUGCAAAUUAAAAAACAACGCACAGCUGCCCCCCAUUUCUUUUUUAAAAGCUAUUACAUGCUGCUAACUAUUAAGUAAUUUAGAUAAUCUAGGAUGUUAAUAAUCAAGGCCUGUGCUCCAAAACAACACACAGCAAAUAGAUGCAGGAUUGUGGUCCAGCUCCAGCUCUUAGAAAAGUGAAGUGAGAGGCACCAAACUGGCCAUGAGGCUUUGGGUACAUCGCUCAAACUGUUGCAGCCUCACACAGCUUGAACUGUGUUCAGCACAUAGUAGCGUCUUAAUAAAUACUUGUUGAAG
Equus caballus (horse) is the source of this 2186-nucleotide long non-coding RNA. Lineage: Eukaryota; Metazoa; Chordata; Mammalia; Perissodactyla; Equidae. The record is from Ensembl.